UACGGGGGGGGCAAGCGUUGUUCGGAAUUACUGGGCGUAAAGGGCUCGUAGGCGGCCAACUAAGUCAUACGUGAAAUCCCUCGGCUUAACCGGGGAACUGCGUCUGAUACUGGAUGGCUUGAGUUCGGGAGAGGGAUGCGGAAUUCCUGGUGUAGCGGUGAAAUGCGCAGAUAUCAGGAGGAACACCAAUUGCGAAGGCAGCUCGCUGGGACGUUACUGACGCUGAUGCGCGAAAGCGUGGGGAGCAAACAGG
This 253-nucleotide ribosomal RNA is filed under the name uncultured bacterium. Its description in RNAcentral is "partial 16S ribosomal RNA". It matches the Rfam family "Bacterial small subunit ribosomal RNA", at positions 524 to 776 of the family's 1533-position model. The record is from RNAcentral.